GGCCUCGGCUACCCAGUUUCUGAUCGUUUGUUAUGGCCGCCCCAGGAAACUCCUGUGUCACUUCACAGUGCCUGCUUGUGAUGGCAGAGUCAGCAUGGGACCUUCACAGACGCUGGCCGGUUCAGGGCCUGCAGGUCUCAAUGGCAGGCCUCUUCCUGAACGUGCACCACAUCAUACAACUCAGAAUGACCCCUACCUGUUCCCAGAGCUCAGGCCCCUCUUCAGUGCUACUCCCAGGGGAGUGGAGCCACUACCUACUAUUAACUCUGCCUUGCACAAGGUGAAGAUUUAUUCUGGCUUGACAUGAACAGCUUCAGUCCUGAUGCUUGAAAAACAAGAUGAACAGCUUCAAUCCUGACGCUUGAAAAACAAGUCCAUGAGAACGUGGGCUGUGGAGCCAGAAGUAUCCAAGUUCAAGUCCCAGCUCUGGCACUUGUUGGCUCUGUGAUCUUGAGACGUGAACUCAACCUCUUUGAGUCGAGCGUCUGCUUUGGUGAAAUGGGGACAUCGAUACCUUUGUGGCUGGGUUUGUGGUGAGGAUUCCAUGGAAGUUCAAUUAUUAGAAGGCAUUCUUAUUUAUCUUCAGGAAGUGCCCAUUUUGCAGAUGAGAAGGACUGAGUGAGGCUCAAGGGGGGUAGGCCCAGGUUGGCUGUGUUGUGCAAGGUUUCUGUAAGGCCUUGGCUUUUGGUGCAUGUGGAGGAAUCUGAACACUAGCCUGCUUUUGCACAGUGUUAUCUUGUCUGAGCCCUUCAUGGCUGUGAAAUGGGGAAAACUACCCAUGCCAGGCUGCUCAGAGAAGCCAGUGAUGCUGCACACAUGAGGCCCUGGCUCUGCACCUGGGGUAGAAUUGGCCCUCCGAAGAAUGACUGUUGCUGCCCUCUCUUUUUCUCUCCUGCCUCACUUUACCCUAAACCAGUGGGCAGCACAGCUACCUUCUCUGCUUUGACAUGGAGCCCAGAGUGGGAGCCCAGAGAGGGAGGCCAUCUUGCCCAGGGUCCCUCAUUCAGGGCCUCUGAGGCGAAUAUUUUAUUCUUAUUCGUGAACGAGGAAGAUUGGAUUAGGAGGAGGUGGACUAAGAUUAAAGUGGAUUUAAAAAGAA
Molecule: long non-coding RNA, 1099 nt
Filed under: Homo sapiens (human)
Lineage: Eukaryota; Metazoa; Chordata; Mammalia; Primates; Hominidae
Description: HSALNT0312009
Source: RNAcentral